UGGGGAAUAUUGCACAAUGGGCGCAAGCCUGAUGCAGCAACGCCGCGUGAGGGAUGACGGCCUUCGGGUUGUAAACCUCUUUUAGUAGGGAAGAAGCCUUUCGGGGUGACGGUACCUGCAGAAAAAGCACCGGCUAACUACGUGCCAGCAGCCGCGGUAAUACGUAGGGUGCAAGCGUUGUCCGGAAUUAUUGGGCGUAAAGAGCUCGUAGGCGGUUUGUCGCGUCUGCUGUGAAAGCCCGGGGCUCAACCCCGGGUGUGCAGUGGGUACGGGCAGACUUGAGUGCGGUAGGGGAGAUUGGAAUUCCUGGUGUAGCGGUGGAAUGCGCAGAUAUCAGGAGGAACACCGAUGGCGAAGGCAGAUCUCUGGGCCGUUACUGACGCUGAGGAGCGAAAGCAUGGGGAGCGAACAGG
RNAcentral lists this ribosomal RNA (413 nucleotides) under uncultured bacterium. RNAcentral describes it as "bacterial SSU rRNA". It matches the Rfam family "Bacterial small subunit ribosomal RNA", at positions 355 to 776 of the family's 1533-position model. The record is from RNAcentral.